UGUAUGGAGAGUUUGAUCCUGGCUCAGGACGAACGCUGGCGGCGUGCUUAACACAUGCAAGUCGAACGGAAAGGCCCUGCUUGCAGGGUGCUCGAGUGGCGAACGGGUGAGUAACACGUGGGUGAUCUGCCCCUUAUUUUGGGAUAAGCCUGGGAAACUGGGUCUAAUACUGGAUAGGACCAUGCUGUAGGUGGUGUGGUGGAAAGAUUAGUUUCGGUAAGGGAUGAGCUCGCGGCCUAUCAGCUUGUUGGUGGGGUAAUGGCCUACCAAGGCGUCGACGGGUAGCUACGGGAGGCAGCAGUGGGGAAUAUUGCACAAUGGGCGCAAGCCUGAUGCAGCGACGCCGCGUGGGGGAUGACGGCCUUCGGGUUGUAAACUCCUUUCAGCCAUGACGAAGCCCUUGUGGUGACGGUAGUGGUAGAAGAAGCACCGGCUAACUACGUGCCAGCAGCCGCGGUAAUACGUAGGGUGCGAGCGUUGUCCGGAAUUACUGGGCGUAAAGAGCUCGUAGGUGGUCUGUCGCGUCAUUUGUGAAAGCCCGGGGCUUAACUCCGGGUUGGCAGGUGAUACGGGCAUGACUGGAGUACUGUAGGGGAGACUGGAAUUCCUGGUGUAGCGGUGAAAUGCGCAGAUAUCAGGAGGAACACCGGUGGCGAAGGCGGGUCUCUGGGCAGUAACUGACGCUGAGGAGCGAAAGCGUGCCGUAGCUAACGCAUUAAGCGCCCCGCCUGGGGAGUACGGCCGCAAGGCUAAAACUCAAAGGAAUUGACGGGGGCCCGCACAAGCGGCGGAGCAUGUGGAUUAAUUCGAUGCAACGCGAAGAACCUUACCUGGGCUUGACAUGCACUGGAUGCGGCCAGAGAUGGUUGUUCCCUUUGUGGCUGGUGUGCAGGUGGUGCAUGGUUGUCGUCAGCUCGUGUCGUGAGAUGUUGGGUUAAGUCCCGCAACGAGCGCAACCCUUGUCUCGUGUUGCCAGCAUUUGGUUGGGGACUCGCGGGAGACUGCCGGGGUUAACUCGGAGGAAGGUGGGGAUGACGUCAAAUCAUCAUGCCCCUUAUGUCCAGGGCUUCACACAUGCUACAAUGGCUGGUACAGAGAGUUGCGAUACCGUGAGGUGGGGCUAAUCUCGUAAAGCCAGUCUCAGUUCGGAUUGGAGUCUGCAACUCGACUCCAUGAAGUCGGAGUCGCUAGUAAUCGCAGAUCAGCAAUGCUGCGGUGAAUACGUUCCCGGGCCUUGUACACACCGCCCGUCACGUCAUGAAAGUUGGUAACACUCGAAGCCGGUGGCCUAAACUCGUUAGGGAGCCGUCGAAGGUGGGAUUGGCGAUUGGGACGAAGUCGUAACAAGGUAGCCGUACCGGAAGGUGCGGCUGGAUCACCUCCUUU
This 1386-nucleotide ribosomal RNA is filed under the name Corynebacterium kroppenstedtii. RNAcentral's name for it is "bacterial SSU rRNA". It matches the Rfam family "Bacterial small subunit ribosomal RNA". Lineage: Bacteria; Bacillati; Actinomycetota; Actinomycetes; Mycobacteriales; Corynebacteriaceae. The record is from RNAcentral.